AAUGAACGUUGGCGGCGUGGAUUAGGCAUGCAAGUCGAGCGCUCAUAGCAAUAUGGGAGCGGCGAACGGCGUAGUAAGACGUAGGAACGUACCCUCGGGACGGGGAUAGCUAUGGGAAACUGUAGGUAAUACCCGAUAAUCUCUGCGGAGCAAAGGUGUGAUUCCGCCUGGGGAGCGGCUUACGCGAUAUUAGCUAGUUGGUGGGGUAAUGGCCUACCAAGGCAAUGAUGUCUAGGGGGUGUGAGAGCAUGGCCCCCACGACCGGAACUGAGAUACUGUCCGGACACCUACGGGAGGCAG
RNAcentral lists this ribosomal RNA (300 nucleotides) under uncultured Planctomycetota bacterium. Its description in RNAcentral is "bacterial SSU rRNA". It matches the Rfam family "Bacterial small subunit ribosomal RNA", at positions 29 to 351 of the family's 1533-position model. The record is from RNAcentral. Lineage: Bacteria; Pseudomonadati; Planctomycetota.